CGGGAUGCUUAGUACGGCGAGUGAAGCGGCAAAAGCUCAAAUUUGAAAUCUGGUACCUUCGGUGCCCGAGUUGUAAUUUGGAGAGGGCAACUUUGGGGCCGUUCCUUGUCUAUGUUCCUUGGAACAGGACGUCAUAGAGGGUGAGAAUCCCGUGUGGCGAGGAGUGCGGUUCUUUGUAAAGUGCCUUCGAAGAGUCGAGUUGUUUGGGAAUGCAGCUCUAAGUGGGUGGUAAAUUCCAUCUAAAGCUAAAUAUUGGCGAGAGACCGAUAGCGAACAAGUACAGUGAUGGAAAGAUGAAAAGAACUUUGAAAAGAGAGUGAAAAAGUACGUGAAAUUGUUGAAAGGGAAGGGCAUUUGAUCAGACAUGGUGUUUUGUGCCCUCUGCUCCUUGUGGGUAGGGGAAUCUCGCAUUUCACUGGGCCAGCAUCAGUUUUGGUGGCAGGAUAAAUCCAUAGGAAUGUAGCUUGCCUCGGUAAGUAUUAUAGCCUGUGGGAAUACUGCCAGCUGGGACUGAGGACUGCGACGUAAGUCAAGGAUGCUGGCAUAAUGGUUAUAUGCCGCCCGUCU
RNAcentral lists this ribosomal RNA (567 nucleotides) under Saccharomyces cerevisiae (brewer's yeast). Its description in RNAcentral is "partial large subunit ribosomal RNA". It matches the Rfam family "Eukaryotic large subunit ribosomal RNA", at positions 70 to 654 of the family's 3401-position model. The record is from RNAcentral. Lineage: Eukaryota; Fungi; Ascomycota; Saccharomycetes; Saccharomycetales; Saccharomycetaceae.